This is an RNA transcript of Hylaeus volcanicus, 3877 nucleotides long. RefSeq lists it as uncharacterized. The transcript is spliced from 8 exons. The record is from RefSeq and is a predicted model, not a curated record. Lineage: Eukaryota; Metazoa; Arthropoda; Insecta; Hymenoptera; Colletidae.
GCAGUCAAAUUAGAAAUUGUUUUUUUCUAAUGAUUGUUUUCAUAAAAUGGUUUAUAAAAAGCUUAAAAAAAAAAUGCAGCCAUUUCAAUCUGAUGGCAGUUGUGUGGAAAGGGUCCUACCUUUUUAACGUGUUACACUCUUGUUGAAAUGAAGAAACAAAAAGAACCAACAAAGUCUGAAGAAUUAGCAUCAGACUCUGAUACUUUUGAAGAGGUUUUGAUUGUUCUAGAAUUUCCCGAGUUAGCAUCUACUAAUUUUUUCAAAUGUUGUGAUGAAAAAACUGUGACCCUUCAGCUUGAGGUUUUUUAAUUUCUGUAUUUUCUACUCAUGUCAUGCUUGUUCCAUGUUGUGCAAGAAUUCGAUUUUUUCACAACCUUCUGUAUCCAAAGUUAAUGAUAUGAUUCAAUUUACAACCCAGCCUUCAAAAGUUCUUGGUACAAGCGUGUUCUUUGAGUUACCUGUUGUGACAGAAAUUUCACAAGGCGCCACCACUGACUUGAAAUAUGUUGGUUAUACCAAUGACACGGUAACAUUUUCCCUUUUACCAAAAACCAUUGAAACAUCUUGAGAAGCCUUCUUUUUCCCAUUUGACAAUUGCAUUGGACGUUAUCGUAAUACUCAGUUGAUGUUUGUUAUUUUUUUUGUUAAUUAACUUGUCUGGGACUAAACAAUAAUUUUAAGAAAAUGUAUUUGGUGUCAUGUGAAGAAAUGAAAAUUAACAAUGUUAUUUUGCAACAACGUUCGAUUUAAAUUAACAAAAUAUUUUACGUAUUGUUGUUAAUCGAAAAAUAUUUUUUUGGAUUGUAAAAAGCAUGUUCUAUUUGUACGGUUAACUGGGCGUUAUAAAUAACUACUUUCGCAGCCUGCUACAACGAGUAUACGCAUGAGUCUCGUGAAACAAUGUCGAUAACAAUGUAAAACUAGUUGGGCAGUUAUUUGGCUCUUUAUCACGAAAGCAUAAUCUUGUUUAUUAGGUAAUCCUCAUACAACAAUAAAUAUGUUCAGUGCCGGAAGGGUUCAAAUGACUGAAGGGUUACGUGUCAACAGUGUCAAAAGCUUUUAAGAAAAAAUAGAAAAAGUUGCGAGAGUGGCACGAAGAAGAAAAAUUUCAUUGUUCAGGCGAACUCCUACUGAUGCGUCGCUUAGGCAACAACGAAAAUCUCUGUUUCAUUCAGUCUUCCCUUGGAGGGUAGGCUGUUAUGGCGAAGCAUGAGCUUCGAAAGGAUGCGUCCUAAUGUAACGGUUUUUUCUUUACGAGUUAAACUAAACACAUUUCCUAAAAAAUGAGGAAACGUUCCAGACACGAACGAGGCUCGAGUCCGUUCAAAGUGUUACUUUGUUACCACUUUUUCUUGUAGUCUAGAAACAAGCGGUGAAAUUUUUUUUUCAAAACACAGAUCAUUUUACAUAUUGUAAAAAGAAAUGCCAAAGAAGGAAAUUUUUGAAGUUAUUUAUAUUCUCUAAAUAAAAAUGGAGUUUUAACUCAUUACUAAAUUGGUACACUUGAAACAUAAACGUCCUGAAACAUCAGAAAUUAGUGACGACGACAUUUUACGCGAGUGGAGAAACAACGUAUUGCAGUUUUAAUCGUUGUAUAAGAAUUAUUACAAAAAAAAGCUGUUUGCAUCGAUUUUUUUGUUUCAUUAUUUAGCGUAGAAAAAUAAGAAUACAAUCGAAAUGAGUGUAGAACACAGUUGUUGCGUUAUUUUAAAAGAUCUAGAUCAUGGAAUGCACUUUCGUCAAAUUCCUGCUUUUUCCUAUAAGGAGGUGAUGCCGUUAAGACCGUGGAUAUCACUGUAGUAUCAAAGUGUUUCAGGUGGCUCAAAUUCAUCGCGAAAUUGCAUGGAGAUUCAAUGAAUUAAAGGAAAUUUUAAAUCACCAAAAGAUUGCUUUACAACAAUUGAUUGAACAUGUCGAAUCAUCACAGCCCUUACCUAGAGACUGCUUAUCUAUAGUAGAAUAUCCUUACUUUGCCCUUUUCAUUCAUUUAUCUGCAGUUCAACAACUUCAAAGAUCUUUAAAUAUAUACAAAUAUAAACGCACCCAGUGGCUUCAUCAUAUUAUUUUAACAGACUUUUUAAAACGUGAUAAGGAAAAAGAAAAGGAUUUGUUGUCGGUUGCGUUACCACAUGAAUUAUCAAGCCGUUUAUCCUUAAUUGAACAAAAUUUUUUUCGACAUGUGCAAAAACUCGUUUUUAAAUAUGGAACAGCCAUGUCGGCAAUUAUAUCAGCACAAACGGAACAUAACCUUUUAAGUGCUUCUAAGCAUGUUUUUGAAAGUAUUAAAAUUCAUUUACCCGACCGGUUUUUCCAAAAACAAAUUACAAAAAUGUCUUUGCCGUCGUACAUUGAAGUUUCUCAAGAUUCAUGGAUGUUUCAAAACUGCGCUUUACCUCAAGUAGAAGAUGAAAAUGAUUCAUGUCCAGUGUCUCAAUAAGGCGUUAAGCACAACAUUUUGCUUUGAUUCCAGAUAUGUAUGAGUGGUUUGCUUUAGAAUGCACUUUAAUAGAAAACAGUUUUCAAGAUGGUGUUAAAAAAAAUUUUUUUAAUCAACUCAGCUGUAUCUGAAAAGGCGGAGUGAAAUGGUUCAGUAACUGACGAUACCACAAAUAUUUAACAAGCAUACUACUAGAAGAUUGUCAAAAAUAACGAAAAAUUUUAAAAAAAUUAAAUAAUCGCAGGUGUGAUAAAUUGGAAAAAUCAUUUUUAAAGUGUUCAUAUGCAUCACUCAUUUUGUCAUGACGCCCACUAAUGCAACGUUCAUGCUGACUUCUAUAUCUUUUGUUUGCUAAAAUAAUUAAAAAUCGGUGUUUAUUUUGAACAUUUUUUUUUUACGCUAAAAACAUAAAGUUGUUUUUUAUUAAAAAUCAACUUUAAAGUUAUUGUAAUAUAACGGAGUUUUUUUUUUUUUUUUGAAGGUAUAUCAAUAAGAAAGUGAUUAUUCACGGUAAAGACAUGAAUUUAAACAGUCAAUUAGUUGUUUAUUACAAGGGAGUCUCAUGAUGACAAUUUUCACACAGUGCCCAGUCGAUUUGAUUUUUUUUUUCUAGACAAAUUUAUGACUUCCCAUAUGAUAGUGCCAGUUAAAGCAUCCACCCCAUCGCUUUAUCCAGUUGUCCCGCGUGUGUGGAAAGGAACCAUGAAGAGCGAAAAAAAUCAUCAAGUGAAUCGUUUUAAUCAAAUGUUGUAUUAUGAUAAAAGCCAGUCGUUUUCUAAAAUACAAGAAGGAAAAAUUAUAAUAGAUGAAUGUUCUUCUUUUUCUUCUUUACCUCUCCAAGAUAAACAUUCGAGUGAGAAAAAGACAAUCACAGAAACAUUAAGUAACCCACCCUUCCCUUUACCGGAUUCCCUCACGAGUCAUGAAAACGUGUCAGUGCUAUCGUCGGACGAAUUUAAACAAACUGCAAACGACAGUUGCGUGGCUUACCCACCAUUUAUUUAUGAAAAAAUUUUAUUUAAUAGUGUUAAAUAUUUUCCCGAUCUUGAAACAGCUGGAGCUAUUCUUUGGCAUUCCAGCAAUGUGUAUCAUAGGCUCCUUUCAUUACGAAAAAAUGAUGUGUUACUGCAUAAAAAAUAUUUUUCAAGUAAUCCAUGCAUCUGUAAAAGAUGCAAUAACCACUCAACUUUACGACUUAAUACCUCUUCUUAGAUUUGUUACAAAUGUUUUUAAUUUUUUUGACGAUUUUUUCUUAUGAUUCGACAAUAUAUGCAAUAUAAAAAAAGAUACCAUUCAUCUUAGAGUAAAUGGUACCCUUAUUAAAUUGGUAGCGAGAACACCCUUGUGGGUUUUUUUUUAAAGUGAAUUUAUUGGUAGGACAUUAUUUGGUUAAAAUAACUCUACUAAGAAUAAUGCAUUUCGUUUUAUUAGUAUUACGUU